RNAcentral lists this ribosomal RNA (280 nucleotides) under uncultured bacterium. RNAcentral describes it as "partial 16S ribosomal RNA". It matches the Rfam family "Bacterial small subunit ribosomal RNA", at positions 1209 to 1500 of the family's 1533-position model. The record is from RNAcentral.
CCGGACACACGUGUUACAAUGGGGGGUACAGAGGGCCGCUACCACGCGAGUGGAUGCCAAUCCCCAAAACCUCUCUCAGUUCGGACUGGAGUCUGCAACCCGACUCCACGAAGCUGGAUUCGCUAGUAAUCGCGCAUCAGCCACGGCGCGGUGAAUACGUUCCCGGGCCUUGUACACACCGCCCGUCAAGCCAUGGGAGCCGGGGGUACCUGAAGUGCGUAACCGCGAGGAGCGCCCUAGGGUAAAACUGGUGACUGGGGCUAAGUCGUAACAAGGUACC